RNAcentral lists this ribosomal RNA (478 nucleotides) under uncultured bacterium. RNAcentral's name for it is "partial 16S ribosomal RNA". It matches the Rfam family "Bacterial small subunit ribosomal RNA", at positions 28 to 523 of the family's 1533-position model. The record is from RNAcentral.
GACGAACGCUGGCGGCGUGCUUAACACAUGCAAGUCGAACGGUAAGGCCCUUCGGGGUACACGAGUGGCGAACGGGUGAGUAACACGUGGGUGAUCUGCCCUGCACUUCGGGAUAAGCCUGGGAAACUGGGUCUAAUACCGGAUAGGACCCUGGGAUGCAUGUCCUGGGGUGGAAAGCGUUUGCGGUGUGGGAGGGGCCCGCGGCCUAUCAGCUUGUUGGUGGGGUGAUGGCCUACCAAGGCGACGACGGGUAGCCGGCCUGAGAGGGUGACCGGCCACACUGGGACUGAGAUACGGCCCAGACUCCUACGGGAGGCAGCAGUGGGGAAUAUUGCACAAUGGGCGCAAGCCUGAUGCAGCGACGCCGCGUGAGGGAUGACGGCCUUCGGGUUGUAAACCUCUUUCAGCACCGACGAAGCGCAAGUGACGGUAGGUGCAGAAGAAGGACCGGCCAACUACGUGCCAGCCGCCGCGGUAA